Molecule: ribosomal RNA, 497 nt
Filed under: uncultured bacterium
Lineage: Bacteria
Description: partial 16S ribosomal RNA
Rfam family: Bacterial small subunit ribosomal RNA
Source: RNAcentral
ACUCAAAGGAAUUGACGGGGGCCCGCACAAGCGGCGGAGCAUGUUGCUUAAUUCGAUGCAACGCGAAGAACCUUACCUGGGUUGAACUACGCAGGAAAAGCUGCAGAGAUGUAGUGUCCGAAAGGGCCUGCGAUAGGUGGUGCAUGGCUGUCGUCAGCUCGUGUCGUGAGAUGUUGGGUUAAGUCCCGCAACGAGCGCAACCCUUAUCCCAUGUUGCCAGCGGGUUAUGCCGGGGACUCGUGGGAGACUGCCGGGGUCAACUCGGAGGAAGGUGGGGAUGACGUCAAGUCAGCAUGCCCCUUAUGUCCAGGGCUGCAAACAUGCUACAAUGGCCGGUACAAAGGGUCGCAAGCCCGCGAGGGUAAGCCAAUCCCAGAAAGCCGGUCUCAGUUCGGAUCGGAGUCUGCAACUCGACUCCGUGAAGUCGGAGUCGCUAGUAAUCCCGAAUCAGCAACGUCGGGGUGAAUACGUUCCCGGGCCUUGUACACACCGCCCGU